UACGGAGGGGGCUAGCGUUAUUCGGAAUUACUGGGCGUAAAGCGCACGUAGGCGGAUCUGCAAGUCAGAGGUGAAAUCCCAGGGCUCAACCUUGGAACUGCCUUUGAAACUGCGGGUCUUGAGUUCGAGAGAGGUGAGUGGAAUUCCGAGUGUAGAGGUGAAAUUCGUAGAUAUUAGGAAGAACACCAGUGGCGAAGGCGCUCUACUGGGCCAUUACUGACGCUGAUGGACGAAAGCUAGGGGAGCGAAAGGG
This 253-nucleotide ribosomal RNA is filed under the name uncultured bacterium. Its description in RNAcentral is "partial 16S ribosomal RNA". It matches the Rfam family "Bacterial small subunit ribosomal RNA", at positions 524 to 776 of the family's 1533-position model. The record is from RNAcentral.